UACAGAGGGUGCAAGCGUUGUUCGGAAUUAUUGGGCGUAAAGGGCGCGUAGGCGGCCUGGCAAGUGGAAGGUGAAAUCCCUCGGCUUAACCGAGGAACUGCCCUCCAAACUGCUUGGCUUGAGUCCGGGAGAGGUGAGUGGAAUUCCCAGUGUAGCGGUGAAAUGCGUAGAUAUUGGGAGGAACACCAAUGGCGAAGGCAGCUCGCUGGAACGGUACUGACGCUGAGGCGCGAAAGCGUGGGGAGCAAACAGG
Molecule: ribosomal RNA, 253 nt
Filed under: uncultured bacterium
Lineage: Bacteria
Description: partial 16S ribosomal RNA
Rfam family: Bacterial small subunit ribosomal RNA
Source: RNAcentral